Rhipicephalus microplus (southern cattle tick) is the source of this 419-nucleotide long non-coding RNA. NCBI's taxonomy places the organism in Eukaryota, Metazoa, Arthropoda, Arachnida, Ixodida, Ixodidae. The record is from RefSeq and is a predicted model, not a curated record.
CCGAAAGUGGGUCACGUCUGCAUUGUGAGAUACUUGUUGCUAAGAAUUGGGUGUGUGCGCUGCUGUAUAGUGAUGCUUGUCGACGUGGAGAGUGGAUUACGUAACCUAGAUGACAAUACAAGCUCAAAAAUAACUUGUCACAGCGGAGAAGAAAUAUACGGCUGUGGUCACAGGCAUUGGCAGAUUUGAGCAUGGUGCGCUUGUCGUUACCGGGGCCGCCGCUUGUCAAGGAGUACGUGCGCGAUCACACCGAAAAGCGGCGUAUUCAACAAAAAAAAAGAGAGGUGCUCAAGGUCACGAGGACCAACAAAACCAUUUAUGGAACGCCGUCCUUGGUCCCCAUGUGGGUGUGGCCCGAGACACAGUGAUAUGUUUUUUAGAGGACCCAAUAAAUGUGUAACAGAUCCAAUGCAACUCAA